Nicotiana attenuata is the source of this 1178-nucleotide long non-coding RNA. RefSeq lists it as uncharacterized. NCBI's taxonomy places the organism in Eukaryota, Viridiplantae, Streptophyta, Magnoliopsida, Solanales, Solanaceae. The transcript has 6 exons. The record is from RefSeq and is a predicted model, not a curated record.
GUGGUGUUACUUACGAUUUAGGAACAUGUAUGCAUUCCUGCUUUGGGGAUUUUACAACUUCCUUUUGGAAUUCCAUAGAAAUAUUUCGCUCCAUCUUUUCUUCUGCUGUCUUCUUUCCUCUGUUUGCUGCUUAUCACAGGCUUUUGAAAGUGGAAGCCGCUCAAGAUGGGGAAAAAAGAAAACUGUUUCGACUAUAAGAGUAUUAAGCUUGCUGUUGCAAGAUUGGGUCUUCCAGUCUCUCCAAAGGGGGUUAAAAAUGCAAGAGGAUUCAAGUGCAAAAAGGACUCAGAGGAGCCAAUAAUUGCAGAAGAGGAGCAGCAAACUCAGAAAUGACGAGGGAUGUUUGUGUCGGGGUUGUACAGGCAGAAUGAGGAGAAUUUUACGAAGUCAAGGAACCUGAUUGAUCUUUAAAUUUUGAGUCUAGCUGCUUAUCACAGGCUUUUGAAAGUGGAAGUCGCUCAAGGUGGGGGAAAAGGAAAACUGCUUUGACUAUAAGAUCUGCUAACAAGAGAGGGUCUUGAAGGUGGUGAGUAUUGAGCUAGCUGUAGGCAUGGAAGUGAGAAGCAUAGCCAGAAAUUUUUUGGUUGAUGUGUCCAAAGCUGGACUUAUAGAUGAAAAUGCUUCUACCUGCAAGAAAAUCCAACCUAAGGCACGAGUAACAGUGGUGAUUGAUGUCACAUGGAAGACAUUGAUCACUGAUAAAAUAGAUAUGGAAGACUUGGAUCGGUGUUGCACAAGUCAAAUAUGGCCAAUAAUAGGUUUUUCUACCAACUCGUGUUAUGAACGUGAGGGGAAGAACUGCAGCUGUUCUCAUUUCUGAAAAUACUUUUGGGAAUUUGGAUUCUGUUCAUUGAUCGGCUUACUCCACCGGGAGAUGGACCGAAUGGUUUGAUUUGGUAUCUUCGAUAUCCAAUUUAGUGAAAUCACUACCAAUGGGGUUGAUGUGUUCAUAUGUAGCAGUUUGACUAGGUUCCCAGUCUAUGGAACUUUUCAACACAACAUUUGUGAAAUGAUCACUCGAUCAGUUGGAAGACAAAUGUGGUGAUUUAAUUCAAGUAUGGGCGUGUUUAGAUGAGAAAGACAUGCCCAAGAACAAUAGAGACAUUUGCAAUUUUUCCUCAUUGUGCUAAAUCAUAUUAUUUCAGCUGAAUUAAUGGAAUUUUAGAGCCUAUAUUUGA